This 209-nucleotide ribosomal RNA is filed under the name uncultured bacterium. RNAcentral's name for it is "partial 16S ribosomal RNA". It matches the Rfam family "Bacterial small subunit ribosomal RNA", at positions 568 to 774 of the family's 1533-position model. The record is from RNAcentral.
AGCGUAGACGGACUGGCAAGUCUGAUGUGAAAGGGCGGGGGCUCCAACCCCUGGACUGCAUUGGAAACUGUUAGUCUUGAGUGCCGGAGAGGUAAGCGGAAUUCCUAGUGUAGCGGUGAAAUGCGUAGAUAUUAGGAGGAACACCAGUGGCGAAGGCGGCUUACUGGACGGUAACUGACGUUGAUGCGCGAAAGCGUGGGGAGCGAACA